UUCAGCUGAGAGAAAAAGACAGAGUUCGUCAGACGUCAUGGAGGCUUAAUAUCUUUCUGAGAACAAUCACCUUCAGCUCCAGGUAUGAAACAUACUCAGUGGUCUUCCUGAGCAAUACCUGCAACUCAGCGGUCCUGCAACCAGGCACAACCAUCUUGAGCUUCCUGAGCUUUCGCACCACCAAAUGCUGCGGAGGUCUCCUCGCUCUCAUUGCUACUCUUCUUUCCCUCCUUAUCACAGAAGCUGAGGUCUUUCUCAUUGCUGGCCAACAACCCAGUCUUGCUACACAAGCAAGCGAUGAGCAGAAGCAGAGUAUAAAUAGGCUUCAAGUCGGUUGCCAUGCAGGGAAUAGUAAGCAAAUAAGACUCUCUGGCCAUCACUUGGAGGUGACAAGUGACACUUGAAUUGCAAUGAACCAGAGAAAGGAGUGGCACAAGUAUUGUAAUGUCUAAUUCGUGGAGUUUUGCAAGAGGACACUUCAGCACAGCCUGUCAUGUGGUAUUGAAGCCGCAAUCAUUGAAAGCUGCAAAUUUAUGUAUAAACUUCAAGAAAUGUCAAUGUUAACCAUGCUUAAGAAUUAAGAUGGAGGAUGCUCUUUUCUAUUGUCAGGGUAACUUACUUUUCCAGAUAUAAUAAGAUUUCUUGUUUUAUUUCUUCAA
Long non-coding RNA from Zingiber officinale, 659 nucleotides. RefSeq lists it as uncharacterized. The record is from RefSeq and is a predicted model, not a curated record. The transcript is spliced from 3 exons. NCBI's taxonomy places the organism in Eukaryota, Viridiplantae, Streptophyta, Magnoliopsida, Zingiberales, Zingiberaceae.